CACAUCCUCCAAGAUCCUAGAAUGGCUAAAAUCUGUAAAGUGCUGAGAGUCUUCAGAGAGUUAAAUAAGAAUCCAGAGAAACAAGGUUAACGUUCUGAGGACCUCGUUAUUUGCCAAGAACAAGCACAGGGGUGUCACCUCCUCCGUGCAGCCUUCAGUAACCCCACCACCCACCAGGAACAGUAGGAGCUCCUGUACUCUCAUUAGAUUCUUGUACCUACUUGUCACAUUGUAACAUGACUGCCUGUUUGAGUGCCUGUCUCCCUAGAUGAUCUUUUGGGGCAGGGACCAUGCCUCAUUCAUCUUUGUAUCUCCAGCACCCAGACGGUAACCAGCACCAAAGAGGUAUUUAAUAAACACAGAAUGGACAGAUAAAUAAUGCCUCGUGGUUGUCAAGAUGCCUAACUCUACCAAAUCCUCUUCUUUGUCUGAAAGUUGAUAUUUCAGCUUGAAAGAAUUGUGUAUAAAAACAGAGUACGUCAACCCACACUGAUAGCCUAGAGGACUCUCCUAGGACUUUAGCGCAGAAGCUUUAUGCCUCAGCUUUUAUGCUUUUAAUGACUCAGAAACCCCUUCUGUUGAUUUGUUGGAUCUUGGUCACCACUCCAGUGGAGUUGAGAUCUGAGUAUGAACCCCAGCUUGGGAAUUCACUUUGGGUUUUGCCAGCUGCUUUCUAUCACCGGCUACCUGGAGUCCACAAGGGUCAACCUGAGCCCUCAUCCAAGAACAGAACCAAUCCCAGCCUGACAGCCAUGAGUGGGGGAGAGAGGAGCAGUGGCCCACCAGCCCCAUCAGCCUCCCGAGUCUCCCUGGUGACAUUUAUUGACCCUGGCCCUCAACAGUCCUCUGCCCGCCUGCUCAGUUAU
This is a long non-coding RNA of Homo sapiens (human), 866 nucleotides long. NCBI's taxonomy places the organism in Eukaryota, Metazoa, Chordata, Mammalia, Primates, Hominidae. The record is from Ensembl.